GAUGAACGCUGGCGGUUGUGCUUAACACAUGCAAGUCGAGCGAAGCACUUUUGCGGAUUUCUUCGGAUUGAAGCAACUGUGACUGAGCGGCGGACGGGUGAGUAACGCGUGGGUAACCUGCCUCAUACAGGGGGAUAACAGUUGGAAACGGCUGCUAAUACCGCAUAAGCGCACAGUACCGCAUGGUACCGUGUGAAAAACUCCGGUGGUAUGAGAUGGACCCGCGUCUGAUUAGCUAGUUGGUGGGGUAACGGCCUACCAAGGCGACGAUCAGUAGCCGACCUGAGAGGGUGACCGGCCACAUUGGGACUGAGACACGGCCCAAACUCCUACGGGAGGCAGCAGUGGGGAAUAUUGCACAAUGGGGGAAACCCUGAUGCAGCGACGCCGCGUGAGCGAUGAAGUAUUUCGGUAUGUAAAGCUCUAUCAGCAGGGAAGAAAAUGACGGUACCUGACUAAGAAGCCCCGGCUAACUACGUGCCAGCAGCCGCGGUAAUACGUAGGGGGCAAGCGUUAUCCGGAUUUACUGGGUGUAAAGGGAGCGUAGACGGCAUGGCAAGCCAGAUGUGAAAGCCCGGGGCUCAACCCCGGGACUGCAUUUGGAACUGUCAGGCUAGAGUGUCGGAGAGGAAAGCGGAAUUCCUAGUGUAGCGGUGAAAUGCGUAGAUAUUAGGAGGAACACCAGUGGCGAAGGCGGCUUUCUGGACGAUGACUGACGUUGAGGCUCGAAAGCGUGNGGAGCAAACAGG
This 749-nucleotide ribosomal RNA is filed under the name uncultured bacterium. RNAcentral's name for it is "bacterial SSU rRNA". It matches the Rfam family "Bacterial small subunit ribosomal RNA", at positions 28 to 776 of the family's 1533-position model. The record is from RNAcentral.